RNAcentral lists this long non-coding RNA (715 nucleotides) under Pan troglodytes (chimpanzee). RNAcentral describes it as "long non-coding RNA NONPTRT000547". Lineage: Eukaryota; Metazoa; Chordata; Mammalia; Primates; Hominidae. The record is from RNAcentral.
GUCCUUAGGUGAAGCAGCAAGUCUUGCUUAAGCAAAGCUGGUGAAAUCAGAGCCUGGUCCAAGGCUCAGAAGCAUUUGCGGGGAAAAGCAAACACUUUUUGUGGGAGAAGGAAACAAAGGAGAAGAGAGGAGGAGGAAGAAAUUGAAAAAGAAGGGGAGGAGAAGAGGAAAAGAAAAAGAGAUGUUGAGAGAAAGAAAAACAGAGAACUGUGUGUGAUUGGAUGCCAUGACUCCUCAGUCUCAGUGCUAAUGCCGUUGUUACCUAACUCUAUUUAGGGAACUUUCCAGAACACAGCAAAGCUUUGUGGGCCUGGCUUUCAGAACUUAUGCAACAAUUGUUUUGGGAGCAGCCUGAAAAUUUUACAAGAGAACUGAGUUUUCAAGAGACUGACAGUGUGACCAAAAGAUCAAAGGUUUGGUGCAGUGGGACUAAGUUUCAGGAAGCCUUUCAAAUUGUGAAGAUUUUCCUCCCUGUUAUGGCAGUUAAGACAUGUGAAAAUGGUAGUUCGAGACACUUAUAAGCAACUUUCUUCUUAGUUCACAAUGUUCCGUGAAUGUCAGUGCCCUCCAAACCCAUGAGAACAAAGCAGGCAACCAGGAUGAUUACUCCCAAAUCAUUGAUAAAAGGAGAGAGAAGUACAGAGAUACACAGUGAUUUGUGAGGAAACACAGAUAAAUUAAAUACUGGUUAGCAAUCUUCAAUAACCAGGAGAUG